Molecule: RNA transcript, 1497 nt
Organism: Zea mays
Lineage: Eukaryota; Viridiplantae; Streptophyta; Magnoliopsida; Poales; Poaceae
Gene name: protein-like pseudogene
Exons: 2
Source: RefSeq, marked validated
AUCGAUUCGUGAGAUCUGCCGCUCAGGUUUCUCCCUAGGCCAUCGAUGCCUUGUCGUACGUCGUCGACUAGGUUUGCCCCUUUUCCUUGCCCUUCUUCCGCAUUCUGAUGUCCUCCCCGCCACCCUGCACCACCUCCCUCAGUCGCCUUCCCCAUUCGCACCUUGUCAGGGAUCAGGUUGUCCACUUCCCAGCCUCCCUCCCCAGUCUACAUCUUCCCCUGCACACCCAUUACAAACGAGGGAGACAAGUACCAUGGCUUUUUCUCUCAGGGAUCGAUUACUGGAAACGAUGAUCCCACUGAUUCUGUCAACGACAGACUACCCAUCUUUCGAUCGUCCUUUGCUCGCACAUGAUCGGCAACGGGAAACCUUGACCUCGAUUUUCAGCAAUCAGCAUGCUACCUUCCCCUACCUUGGCUUGUACUCCGGAUUACUUCAACCCGAAGCAGACAUAGCUGACCAGGGACUUCCCCUAUGGCCCUAACAAGUAGAUCUCGACAUGGCUCCUUCAUUCCUCCUAGACUGAACGUUGGCGGAAGCCGGUCUACGCAUGGUCUUGCACGCCCAUCUAGUAGACAUGCUACUACAACAAAUUUCAGAGCUAGGUCUAGUAGGCACUGCUCCAAGGAAUGGAGGUGCCCGUCCAUUUCAAGGUUCUCAUGUGCAUUCUCCUCUUCCUCAGAUGCGUGUUGGAGGGCGUGGCAGAGCCAGGCAACCCAACUCUACGGGAAAUGGAUUUUUUGUGGAAGGUGCGGAUGAGGAUGACGAUGAGAACCCCUCACAUAUGAGGAAACCAGAGUACAGGAAGUUCUGGUAAUGUGUACCAUAUUACCUGGAAUAUCUACAAGAAAUGUUCCAUGGUUAUGUUGUUGACGGACGUUCCACAUGCAAUACUGGAGGGAGUAAUGUACCAGUACAAGUAGAUGAUGAAAAUGAAGAACACGAUGAUGAUGCUACCCUCAACAGCCCAAUGAGUAUCGGUUAUCAUAAAAGUCCUAGUAGCACAUCUAACGUUGUAUCAAGUCCACUUAAUAAAAACAUAAAAGUUCCAUGUUCAACAUGAUGCAAGGGAUGUUGGACAACCUGAACCAAAAUGGUACUGCUCAAUGGGAAACAUUAGUUGAAAUAUCUAAAGAAAGGGCAGAUCAAAGGAGGAGGGAAAUUGUAGUUGAUAUGCAAAACAAAAUUGAAGACAUAGGAAGGUGUUUGAAACUAGAUGUGGACUAUGGCAUAUCAGAAGUUUCAGAUGAGUAUUGGGUGGCAACAUAGUUGUUUGACAAAAAAGUACAACCGAUCAGUUUUCUCAAGCUUUAGAACAUAUGAGGGAAGGAUAGGUUGGUUGCAGAGGUGGUGCAGACAGUUCAGUGGUUGAAGGUGUUUGUGUUAUGAAAGUUAAAUUUGUGUAAUAAGUCUUUAUCUGUGUGUGUGAACAAAUUUGAAGUAUGUUGAUUUUCUAGACUUUUUAUGGAAUAAAUAAACUUGGGUGUUUAUUGUUUC